RNAcentral lists this ribosomal RNA (923 nucleotides) under uncultured organism. Its description in RNAcentral is "bacterial SSU rRNA". It matches the Rfam family "Bacterial small subunit ribosomal RNA", at positions 16 to 984 of the family's 1533-position model. The record is from RNAcentral.
AUCCUGGCUCAGGAUGAACGCUGGCGGUCUGCUUAACACAUGCAAGUCGAACGCAACCUUCGGGUUGAGUGGCGGACGGGUGAGUAACGCGUGAGAAUCUGCCUUGGGGUCGGGGACAACCACUGGAAACGGUGGCUAAUACCGGAUAAGCCUUUGGGUAAAAGAUUUAUUGCCCCAAGAGGAGCUCGCGUCUGAUUAGCUAGUUGGUGAGGUAAAAGCUCACCAAGGCAGCGAUCAGUAGCUGGUCUGAGAGGACGAUCAGCCACACUGGGACUGAGACACGGCCCAGACUCCUACGGGAGGCAGCAGUGGGGAAUUUUCCGCAAUGGGCGAAAGCCUGACGGAGCAAGACCGCGUGAGGGAGGAAGGCUCUUGGGUUGUAAACCCCUUUUCUCAGGGAAGAAGCUCUGACGGUACCUGAGGAAUCAGCCUCGGCUAACUCCGUGCCAGCAGCCGCGGUAAUACGGAGGAGGCAAGCGUUAUCCGGAAUUAUUGGGCGUAAAGCGUCCGCAGGUGGCGAUUCAAGUCUGCUGUCAAAGCACGGGGCUUAACUCCGUUAAGGCAGUGGAAACUGAAUAGCUAGAGUGCCGUAGGGGUAGAGGGAAUUCCCGGUGUAGCGGUGAAAUGCGUAGAGAUCGGGAAGAACAUCGGUGGCGAAAGCGCUCUACUGGACGGCAACUGACACUCAGGGACGAAAGCUAGGGGAGCGAAUGGGAUUAGAUACCCCAGUAGUCCUAGCUGUAAACGAUGGAUACUAGGUGUAGCUUGUAUCGACCCGAGCUGUGCCGAAGCUAACGCGUUAAGUAUCCCGACUGGGGAGUACGCACGCAAGUGUGAAAAUCAAAGGAAUUGACGGGGGCCCGCACAAGCGGUGGAGUAUGUGGUUAAUUCGAUGCAACGCGAAGAACCUUACCAGGGCUUGA